Long non-coding RNA from Triticum aestivum (bread wheat), 1023 nucleotides. RefSeq lists it as uncharacterized. The record is from RefSeq and is a predicted model, not a curated record. Lineage: Eukaryota; Viridiplantae; Streptophyta; Magnoliopsida; Poales; Poaceae. The transcript is spliced from 6 exons.
GGCCGGAAUGUGGUAAUAAGCCGGGAUUUGCUGUAUACUUCAGAUAUCAAAAUAGUCAACGUGUAUCUUAUCGUCAGUUCUCUAAAGGUGAUAUGGCAAUUCGUAGGAGUUCCUAGGGGUGAUUUGUAGUAUAAAAGCACAAUCUGGCGCACAAGUAUAUAAAUUCAGCAUGGUUUGAUGGACCCUAGUAUCUAUUACUGUCAUCUGCUACUUUGUUCUUUAUAUUUUAUUCACGCCACCUGAAUUAACAGAGAAAAUCAUAAGUGAAGGUUCAUUGAAAAUGAAGUGGAAGAAUUACCAAGGUGCUUAAUCAAUGUAUGGAAUCGAAAGAAUACAUGGAAAUCAGAAAUGCCCUUAUUGUGCUCAGAAAGAUUACUAGUAUAUUUCCUGUGAUUCGAAAAAGUGGUAUCAACCUCGAGAAAAGGGUAAAUACAUCAUUACUCACCAUUUAUGAUAUGCUGCUGGCCUAAAGGGGAACAAGAGGGAUGAUCUGAAAGUACUGACAAUUGGUGUACCUGCUGCUCUCAAGGAAAUUAAUCUGCAGAUCUCUUAGCAGCAAAAGAUCAUAGCGUUCAUGCAAAAUCUACAGAGGGUAGGCAAAUGCAAUGAAAACCUGAUGCUCAACAUAAGAAGAAUGUCUCGUCUACAAAAGGAUCUGAUAAUCUUCCUCUGCACAGAGAAAUGGUUCAGGGAUUGCAUGCGUUGCAGAUGAACCUUCAAAAAAUUUGUCCAAUGAUGGAGUUAAAGUCUUCAAGCCUACUGCAGAACCUGAGACAAGCGUGCUGUACUCAAUGCUGUAGAGGUAUGUAAGAAUGAUGCGAGAAGGAAGAAGCAAACCUGGGAAAUCUACCAGCAGGGGUCUUAAUCGACAAGCUUAUUGAUAGAGAAGUAUUUUCUCAGGCAACUGACAGUGUGCUGGACACUAGUCCCACUAGUUGGUUUGUGACGGUGUGCUGGCACCAAUGGUAAUGUACAUCCAGCGCCAUGGAAGGUAUCAGCGUCCUCCCAAAGAUCAACAGUGUU